Molecule: ribosomal RNA, 630 nt
Filed under: Fereydounia khargensis
Lineage: Eukaryota; Fungi; Basidiomycota; Ustilaginomycetes; Urocystidales; Fereydouniaceae
Description: partial large subunit ribosomal RNA
Rfam family: Eukaryotic large subunit ribosomal RNA
Source: RNAcentral
UAGCGGAGGAAAAGAAACUAACAAGGAUUCCCCUAGUAACGGCGAGUGAAGAGGGAAGAGCCCAAGUUUGAAAGCUGGCGUCUUCGGCGUCCGCAUUGUAAACUCGAGAAGCGUUUUCCGCGCCGGACCAAGCUCAAGUCCCUUGGAAUAGGGCAUCAUAGAGGGUGAGAGUCCCGUACUUGGCUUGGAGUCCCCGGGGCUUUGUGAUACGCUCUCCAAGAGUCGAGUUGUUUGGGAAUGCAGCUCAAAAUGGGUGGUAAAUGCCAUCUAAGGCUAAAUAUCGAGGAGAGACCGAUAGCGAACAAGUACCGUGAGGGAAAGAUGAAAAGAACUUUGGAAAGAGAGUUAAACAGUACGUGAAAUUGCCGGAAGGGAAGGGUAGGGAGUCAGAUAUGCUGUGCGGAUUCAGCCUUGUCUUUGGACUUGGUGUAUUUUCGUAUUGGCAGGCCAGCAUCGGUUUGUGCCGCUGGAUAUAGGCUCGGGGAAUGUGGCUUUGUCUUCGGUCAAAGUGUUAUAGCCCCUUGCUGAGUACAGCGGCAUGGACCGAGGCACGCAGCGCACCCUCUGGGCGGGCCCUCGGGCACCUUUGCGCUUAGGAUGCUGGCUUAAUGGCUCUCUGCCACCCGUCUU